UAAAGCUCUGUUGUAAGAGAAGAACGUGUGUGAGAGUGGAAAGUUCACACAGUGACGGUAACUUACCAGAAAGGGACGGCUAACUACGUGCCAGCAGCCGCGGUAAUACGUAGGUCCCGAGCGUUGUCCGGAUUUAUUGGGCGUAAAGCGAGCGCAGGCGGUUUAAUAAGUCUGAAGUUAAAGGCAGUGGCUUAACCAUUGUUCGCUUUGGAAACUGUUAGACUUGAGUGCAGAAGGGGAGAGUGGAAUUCCAUGUGUAGCGGUGAAAUGCGUAGA
RNAcentral lists this ribosomal RNA (276 nucleotides) under uncultured bacterium. RNAcentral describes it as "partial 16S ribosomal RNA". It matches the Rfam family "Bacterial small subunit ribosomal RNA", at positions 426 to 694 of the family's 1533-position model. The record is from RNAcentral.